UGUGCAUUUUUCUGUGUGUUUGUUCUACU
This 29-nucleotide non-coding RNA is filed under the name Homo sapiens (human). The record is from RNAcentral. Lineage: Eukaryota; Metazoa; Chordata; Mammalia; Primates; Hominidae.